This 862-nucleotide unclassified non-coding RNA is filed under the name Hevea brasiliensis (rubber tree). The record is from RNAcentral. Lineage: Eukaryota; Viridiplantae; Streptophyta; Magnoliopsida; Malpighiales; Euphorbiaceae.
AAGCUUCUUGCAGUGGCCACACCUGCAAGCAAAGACAGAAGAACAGAAUUCCAUCCUCAGCUCACUUUUGUUACAGAAACUUAAAUGAUCAAAUUUUCAUUACACAAUAGCCAAAAUAAAAUUUUUUGAAAAGGUUGUAACACUAUGUAAAACUUGCAAUGAUGUGAAAGAACAUGCAUUUUUAAUCUAUCAGGUGAUUCUUAAAGUUCUCUCAUAACUUUAGUAUCAUAGUUCAUCUACGGAAAUUUUCUUGAUAUUUCAUGUAACUGAUAUUCCAUUCAUGGAAAUGAUACAUGUUCCUGCUCUUUAAAACUAAAGAUUAUAAGUUCUAACAAGUAAAUUAAUUGCCCUCAAGAUGCUCCAGUAAACACUUUGCCCAACAGAUAAGUCAGCAACAUUCCUAUCACAAUGGGUAGGGAUAGUGGCUGAGAUGGUGGCAGGUAUUGGGAGAGUAGUAGCGGUGCACCGGUGGUUCAUAGGCAGGGUUAGUUAUAAUGGCGGAGUGCCGCAGUUGAGGUUGAAAUAAUUCACAACUCACUGUUUAUCAUGGAUCAAUUACAUUUAAAUAUCGGACACAAAAAGGGAAUACUCCACACAAUUAGUCUCAAUCAUUUCCCUUCAUUUGAUUCAUAGCAGAACCGAAAACUACUCAAGCACGCUUUAUCUCCAGGCAUAGAUCGAAAUCUCAGAAUCCCAAUUGACUGGGAAGUCAACACAGUAAUACAAACAAAAAUGUAAUCACUUUAUGCGAUCACAAUUUAUAGUCUCAAACUCUAUCUUCACAUAUAAAAUUUUUUUUUAAAAAAAUUCAAAUUUAAUCUACAACCAGAUGGAAACAUACAAAGAAACAUCUAAAUAGAAA